CAUAAUACAUAGUGAUUACUGCAAUUAGACAUAGCAAGUCCAGCUUUUCACUGUACCAGGAAACCGACACUGCGGAUUAAGUCUUCAGUCUUUAGCAUCACUCUGAGAAGGAUUUCGACAAAAGAAAAUUUAUUUAACCAUUCUGGAGUUCCCAUCAUGGUACAGCAGAAACGAAUCUGACCAGGAAUGAUGAGGUUGUGGGUUUGAUCCCUGGCCUCGCCCAGUGGGUUAAGGAUCCAGCAUUGCUGUGAGUGGUGGUGUAGGUCGCAGACGAGGCUUGGAUCUGGCAUUGCUGUGGCUGUGGCGUAGGCCAGCAGCUACAGCUCCAAUUAGACCCCUAGCCUGGGAACUUACCUAUGCUGUGGGUGUGGCCCUAAAAGGACAUAAGACAAAAAAAGAAGAAAAAAAACCAGUUACAUUUCUCUGUGUGUGUGUGUGUGUGUGUGUGUGUGUGUGUGUGUGUAAAUGAGACUAAGAGGAAAUAUGACAGCCAUGUCCAGAAAUAUAGGAAUACUCAUCACAUAAGAAAGACAUUCCUGAAGGUAAAUCAGGGUAAAAGUACCAGCCUUUUGAAUAUUAAUAAUUGUUAAGUGAACUGUGCAUGGUGCAUGUUAGUAGAGGUUUGGGGGAGAUAAAGAGACCGAACAAGGAGAAAGAUAAGACCAUGUAGUGGCAGUAGAACAUUCAAGCUUUGAAAGCUAUUCAUAGGGACAAAUACCUCAUAGCAUGAGAGGUCCAGAGGAUUAAGGCCUGGGAGUUACCAUCUACCUGGGGGGAGGGCAAACGAAUUCCCAGGGAGAGAAGGAUUAAAGUCAGAGAGGAUGUUUAUGUUGUCUAGAUGUCAUCACUCAGCAGUUCAGUAGGGAGUCUGUGAGUCAGAAAGCUUCAACUUGGACUCUUUGUGUAUGGCUAGCAGAUGAUGGCUAUAGUUUUGUGGGGUAUGAAAAGCAGGCAGAUGCUAAAUGUCUAAAAACCUGCUUAUUUGGACUUUAAAACUGUUGCAUCU
Molecule: long non-coding RNA, 1006 nt
Filed under: Sus scrofa (pig)
Lineage: Eukaryota; Metazoa; Chordata; Mammalia; Artiodactyla; Suidae
Description: lncRNA (ENSSSCG00055023313.1)
Source: RNAcentral